UUAAGGUUCAGGGCAGGGUACUGGGUGGUAGCUGGCUAGAACAGUGAUUAAGGUUCAGGGCAGAGUACUGGGUGGUAGCUGGCUAGAACAGUGAUUAAGGUUCAGGGCAGAGUACUGGGUGGUAGCUGGCUAGAACAGUGAUUAAGGUUCAGGGCAGGGUACUGGGUGGUAGCUGGCUAGAACAGUGAUUAAGGUUCAGGGCAGAGUACUGGGUGGUAGCUGGCUAGAACAGUGAUUAAGGUUCAGGGCAGGGUACUGGGUGGUAGCUGGCUAGAACAGUGAUUAAGGUUCAGGGCAGGGUACUGGGUGGUAGCUGGCUAGAACAGUGAUUAAGGUUCAGGGCAGGGUACUGGGUGGUAGCUGGCUAGAACAGUGAUUAAGGUUCAGGGCAGGGUACUGGGUGGUAGCUGGCUAGAACAGUGAUUAAGGUUCAGGGCAGGGUACUGGGUGGUAGCUGGCUAGAACAGUGAUUAAGGUUCAGGGCAGGGUACUGGGUGGUAGCUGGCUAGAACAGUGAUUAAGGUUCAGGGCAGGGUACUGGGUGGUAGCUGGCUAGAACAGUGAUUAAGGUUCAGGGCAGGGUGCUGGGCGGCUAGUGGUGACUAUUUAACUGUCUGAUGGCCUGGAGACAGAAUCAGUUUAUCAGGUCUCUCGGUCCCAUCUUUGAUGCACCUGUACAGUCUCCUACUUCUAGAUGGCAGCGGG
Oncorhynchus keta (chum salmon) is the source of this 705-nucleotide long non-coding RNA. RefSeq lists it as uncharacterized. The transcript has 3 exons. The record is from RefSeq and is a predicted model, not a curated record. Lineage: Eukaryota; Metazoa; Chordata; Actinopteri; Salmoniformes; Salmonidae.